Molecule: ribosomal RNA, 496 nt
Filed under: Lyssomanes cf. jemineus UBC SEM W.Maddison ECU11-5682
Lineage: Eukaryota; Metazoa; Arthropoda; Arachnida; Araneae; Salticidae
Description: partial 16S ribosomal RNA
Rfam family: Bacterial large subunit ribosomal RNA (bases 108-402)
Source: RNAcentral
AUAAUUUGCCUUUUAAUUGAAGGCCAGAACAAAAGAUUAAACAUUUUAAUAAAUUUAUUAAUUAUUCAUUUAAAUUUUUCUUAAAUGUAAAAAGACAUUUAUAUAUUAGAAAGACGACAAGACCCUAUUGAACUUUACUAAAGUUUAACUGGGGUAGUAAAUUAAUUAUUAUUUUAAUUUUUUUAUAGAAAUUAUUAUCUAAUAAUAUUAAUUAAUCAAGUUACCUUAGGGAUAACAGCAUAAUAAAAUUUUAAAGAUCUUAUUUUAAAUAAAGAUUAUGACCUCGAUGUUGAAUUAAUUAUCUAUUAUAAGUAAUAAUAUAAAAAGAAAGUCUGUUCGACUUUUAAAUAAUUACAUGAUUUGAGUUCAAACCGGUGUAAGCCAGGUUGGUUUCUAUCUUCUUAAAACUUUUUCACAGUACGAAAGGACCAGAAAAUUUAAUUUAAUUAAUAAUUUGGCAGAAAAAUGCAUUAGAAUUAGAAUCUAAUUAUAUAAU